RNAcentral lists this ribosomal RNA (468 nucleotides) under uncultured bacterium. RNAcentral's name for it is "partial 16S ribosomal RNA". It matches the Rfam family "Bacterial small subunit ribosomal RNA", at positions 28 to 507 of the family's 1533-position model. The record is from RNAcentral.
GACGAACGCUGGCGGCGUGCUUAACACAUGCAAGUCGAACGGAAAGGCCCUGCUUUUGUGGGUGCCCGAGGUGGCAAACGGUUGGGAAACCGGUGGUUACCUUGCCCUGGCCUUGGGGUUACUUUAGGAAAACGGGGCCUAAUCCCGGAAGGGGCCUCCGCCUGAUUGUGGGGGGUGGAAAGUUUUCGGCGGUUGGGGAUGGACUCGCGGCUUAUCAGCUUGUUGGUGGGGUAGUGGCUUACCAAGGCUUUGACGGGUAGCCGGCCUGAGAGGGUGACCGGCCACAUUGGGACUGAGAUACGGCCCAGACUCCUACGGGAGGCAGCAGUGGGGAAUAUUGCACAAUGGGCGGAAGCCUGAUGCAGCAACGCCGCGUGCGGGAUGACGGCCUUCGGGUUGUAAACCGCUUUCGCCUGUGACGAAGCGUGAGUGACGGUAAUGGGUAAAGAAGCACCGGCUAACUACGUG